RNAcentral lists this long non-coding RNA (1196 nucleotides) under Sus scrofa (pig). RNAcentral describes it as "lncRNA (ENSSSCG00005028390.1)". Lineage: Eukaryota; Metazoa; Chordata; Mammalia; Artiodactyla; Suidae. The record is from RNAcentral.
CAGGCAGAUGGCACUUACUCCUGAAACCGGAGAUGUCGUCUCUUGAGUCAUGGACGAGGCAGGGCUGUCACGGCUGUGCCGGUGCCGCUGCUGCUGCAGAGGAGGAGGCGGACGAAGUGCCUGACUGCAAACGAGGAGGGGAGCGGGCCAGCCUGGCGCCGGUUAGGUGCAGGGGAAGGGUGGCCCCUGGGCAGCUGGGGGUCCCGUUUGAGGAGGUGGCUGUGGACACGUUUACUUGAUUCUGACCAGGGACACUGUGGUCUGGGUCGGGUGACAAGGAGGCAGCAGCCACAAUGGAUGUGCUGUGCUUUGGGGUGUCGGGGCGAGCAAGGGCCCUUGAACCCAAACCUUUGCCCAGAACCCUUCACUGCGGGCGUCUCAGAGCCUCUAUCUAUGCCUGAAGCGCUGGGUGGGGCUGGGUGGCGGGCAGGCAGGCUGGGCUGAGAGGGGGCAGCAGGCAGGCGUGAGGGGUGGGCCCGGGGUGUUCACGUGAAACUGCCAGGGCCUGGGCGCUUCCGCAGCUCUGCUGCUGGAGGGCAGAGGGAGCCCCACAGGACGUGGGCCUGAGUGCCUGCGGCCGGCUUCCCCGGGGACUGCGGUGGGCGCUGAGGCUUGCGUUCCCUCUUCUUUACGUGCCAGGGAGUGUUUUCUCAGAUUGUUUUCCACAUUCCAACACGUCAGGUCCACCCUCGCUUGUACAGAGGGGAGCACCCUGCCUGUCCUGCAGGAGACCAGGGCUCCACAAACCCAGGCACCUACGGUCAGUUCAUCUUCAACAAAGGAGGCGAGAACGUAAGAUGGGAAAGAGCCAGCCUUUUCAGCAAGUGAGGCUGGGAAAACUGGGCCGCUGCCUGUAAGUCAGUGAAACUGGAACACACCCUCACACCAUCUGCCCACAAAUAAACUCAGCAUGGCUUAAAGACUUCAGCGUAAGACAAGACCAUCAAACUCCCAGGAGAGAACAAGGGCAAAGCAUUCUCUCCCAUCAACCGUGCAAAUGUUUUGUCAGCACAGUCUCCCGAGGCAACAGAAAUAAAAGCAAAAAUAAACCAACGGGGAGUUUCCUUCAUGGCACAGCGGAAACGCAUCCGACUAGGACCCAUGAGGUUUCGGGUUUGAUCCCUGGCUUCACCCAGUGGGUUAAGGAUCCGGUGUUGCCAUGAGUUGUGGUGUAGGCCGCAGAUGCAGCUUGGAUC